Molecule: ribosomal RNA, 515 nt
Filed under: Trichocomaceae sp.
Lineage: Eukaryota; Fungi; Ascomycota; Eurotiomycetes; Eurotiales; Trichocomaceae
Description: SSU rRNA
Rfam family: Eukaryotic small subunit ribosomal RNA
Source: RNAcentral
ACCUUGGGUCUGGCUGGCCGGUCCGCCUCACCGCGAGUACUGGUCCGGCUGGACCUUUCCUUCUGGGGAAUCCCAUGGCCUUCACUGGCUGUGGGUGGAACCAGGACUUUUACUGUGAAAAAAUUAGAGUGUUCAAAGCAGGCCUUUGCUCGGAUACAUUAGCAUGGAAUAAUAGAAUAGGACGUGCGGUUCUAUUUUGUUGGUUUCUAGGACCGCCGUAAUGAUUAAUAGGGAUAGUCGGGGGCGUCAGUAUUCAGCUGUCAGAGGUGAAAUUCUUGGAUUUGCUGAAGACUAACUACUGCGAAAGCAUUCGCCAAGGAUGUUUUCAUUAAUCAGGGAACGAAAGUUAGGGGAUCGAAGACGAUCAGAUACCGUCGUAGUCUUAACCAUAAACUAUGCCGACUAGGGAUCGGGCGGCGUUUCUAUGAUGACCCGCUCGGCACCUUACGAGAAAUCAAAGUUUUUGGGUUCUGGGGGGAGUAUGGUCGCAAGGCUGAAACUUAAAGAAAUUGACG